This 481-nucleotide ribosomal RNA is filed under the name uncultured bacterium. RNAcentral describes it as "bacterial SSU rRNA". It matches the Rfam family "Bacterial small subunit ribosomal RNA", at positions 29 to 537 of the family's 1533-position model. The record is from RNAcentral.
AACGAACGCUGGCGGCAUGCCUAACACAUGCAAGUCGAACGAGAUCUUCGGAUCUAGUGGCGCACGGGUGCGUAACGCGUGGGAAUCUGCCCUUUGCUUCGGAAUAACAGUUAGAAAUGACUGCUAAUACCGGAUGAUGUCUUCGGACCAAAGAUUUAUCGGCAAAGGAUGAGCCCGCGUAGGAUUAGGUAGUUGGUGGGGUAAAGGCCUACCAAGCCGACGAUCCUUAGCUGGUCUGAGAGGACGACCAGCCACACUGGGACUGAGACACGGCCCAGACUCCUACGGGAGGCAGCAGUGGGGAAUUUUGGACAAUGGGCGCAAGCCUGAUCCAGCCAUGCCGCGUGCAGGAUGACGGUCCUAUGGAUUGUAAACUGCUUUUAUACAGGAAGAAACACUACUUCGUGAAGUAGCUUGACGGUACUGUAAGAAUAAGGAUCGGCUAACUCCGUGCCAGCAGCCGCGGUAAAGUUGACUACUG